UAAGGAUGUGACGUAUAAAAUGUUAGCCUUCAAUGUCUACUUCUAUCAACACAAAGUCUCUAUUCAUUAAUUGUUAUCUAUAUUAUAAAGUAGAAUGUGAGGGUUAUGUCUCUAUCAUGUGUGAGCAUGGUGUUCUUCCAGAUGUGACUCUACAGACCAUUCAUCAUAUUUGUAAAGUAUUCAUUUAUUCUAUAAGUGUUACUCUUUGCAAUGUCUAGAUAUGUGAAGAGUUACUGGUCCAGUCAUAGGGCAGAAAGUCAAUAUGGAUAAUGGUGGCGGGGUUUGAACUCAGAACCAUUGAGAUGACAGUGCAGAGAGCAAAGCACAUGACCUGGAAAUCCAUUUUAUAUGACUACAUGUGUCUAGCAUUAGCCUACAUUUGAAUUACCUGUGUCUCAUGGUGACAAAAGUCUCCUUGAUACCAUUUAAAUAUAGAAGAUAGUUUCAAAGUUUGUUUAGCCAAGUCAACCUGACAUCCACUGUCACUUUCAAGAAAGGCAGAUGUAGCCAAGUAAAGUUCUUCA
Long non-coding RNA from Biomphalaria glabrata, 524 nucleotides. RefSeq lists it as uncharacterized. NCBI's taxonomy places the organism in Eukaryota, Metazoa, Mollusca, Gastropoda, Planorbidae. The record is from RefSeq and is a predicted model, not a curated record. The transcript is spliced from 4 exons.